This 76-nucleotide transfer RNA is filed under the name Acidimicrobium sp. BACL19 MAG-120924-bin39. Its description in RNAcentral is "tRNA-Asn". It matches the Rfam family "tRNA". Rfam says of the family: Transfer RNA (tRNA) molecules are approximately 80 nucleotides in length. Their secondary structure includes four short double-helical elements and three loops (D, anti-codon, and T loops). The record is from RNAcentral. Lineage: Bacteria; Bacillati; Actinomycetota; Acidimicrobiia; Acidimicrobiales; Acidimicrobiaceae. RNAcentral also lists the same sequence under 7 other names.
UCCGGGGUAGCUCAGUUGGCAGAGCAACGGACUGUUAAUCCGUUUGUCGUGGGUUCGAGCCCCACCCCCGGAGCCA